This 369-nucleotide ribosomal RNA is filed under the name uncultured Methanosaeta sp. RNAcentral's name for it is "bacterial SSU rRNA". It matches the Rfam family "Archaeal small subunit ribosomal RNA", at positions 971 to 1338 of the family's 1478-position model. The record is from RNAcentral. Lineage: Archaea; Methanobacteriati; Methanobacteriota; Methanomicrobia; Methanotrichales; Methanotrichaceae.
CCGGAUUAGCUGAGAGGUGGUGCAUUGGCCGUCGUCAGUUCGUACUGUGAAGCAUCCUGUUAAGUCAGGCAACGAGCGAGACCCACGCCCACAGUUGCCAGCGUACUCUCUGGAGUGACGGGUACACUGUGGGGACCGCCGCUGCUAAAGCGGAGGAAGGAAUGGGCAACGGUAGGUCAGUAUGCCCCGAAUAUCCCGGGCUACACGCGAGCUACAAUGGUUGGUACAAUGGGUAUCUACCCCGAAAGGGGACGGGAAUCUCCUAAAACCAAUCUUAGUUCGGAUUGAGGGCUGCAACUCGCCCUCAUGAAGCUGGAAUCCGUAGUAAUCGCGUUUCAACAGAACGCGGUGAAUACGUCCCUGCUCCUU